CAACCACAUUCGUUCCUCCAAAAAAAAGCACACAACGAAGCUGCCGCUCACCGCCGUCUCAUAGCGCAGCCGCCGGCUGCCGGCCGCCGCCCACGGGCGCGGCGCACAUCAGUCCCUCCCUUCCCUUGUUCCCUUCAUCCAACAUUCAGACGCCCCACCGGCCACAACCACUGCUUAGCCGACCCACGCGCGGACGCGCAUAUGCAGCCGCGAGCGGCGAGCCGGUAAGCCGGCAACGGCGGCGAGGGCGCGAGGCUGUAAAUUGCCAACUGGGCAAAUCCUUCUAUGAAUCAUUAUAAGUUGGGCAGGUUACAAAUUGAGGUGUAGGCAGCCAUGGAAUGCGUGAAGGAACGGAAUGUUGAUUUGUAGUAUGUACCUGCACACAACCUUGCCUGAUGGUCAAUGGUAUGGCUUAUUUUGGUUUUGAGUAGUAUAUAUGGUCAAAUGUUAUGGCUUAUUUUGGUCUCGGUAGUAUAUAUAUAUAUGCUCAUCUUGUAUUCAAUGUGAACAGAAGGUGUACUGACUAUAUAUAUUUAAAUAGUAUAUAUGCUUUAGAAUUUGAAAA
Aegilops tauschii subsp. strangulata is the source of this 565-nucleotide non-coding RNA. The record is from RefSeq and is a predicted model, not a curated record. NCBI's taxonomy places the organism in Eukaryota, Viridiplantae, Streptophyta, Magnoliopsida, Poales, Poaceae.